UACGGAGGGAGCUAGCGUUGUUCGGAAUUACUGGGCGUAAAGCGCACGUAGGCGGCUUUGUAAGUUAGACGUGAAAGCCCGGGGCUCAACCCCGGAAUUGCCUUUAAGACUGCAUCGCUUGAAUCCAGGAGAGGUGAGUGGAAUUCCGAGUGUAGAGGUGAAAUUCGUAGAUAUUCGGAAGAACACCAGUGGCGAAGGCGGCUCACUGGACUGGUAUUGACGCUGAGGUGCGAAAGCGUGGGGAGCAAACAGG
Molecule: ribosomal RNA, 253 nt
Filed under: uncultured bacterium
Lineage: Bacteria
Description: partial 16S ribosomal RNA
Rfam family: Bacterial small subunit ribosomal RNA
Source: RNAcentral